This 79-nucleotide transfer RNA is filed under the name Kalinella pachyderma. Its description in RNAcentral is "tRNA-Leu". It matches the Rfam family "tRNA". Rfam says of the family: Transfer RNA (tRNA) molecules are approximately 80 nucleotides in length. Their secondary structure includes four short double-helical elements and three loops (D, anti-codon, and T loops). Lineage: Eukaryota; Viridiplantae; Chlorophyta; Trebouxiophyceae; Watanabeales; Watanabeaceae. The record is from RNAcentral.
GCCGCUGUGGUGAAAUGGUAGACACAUGAAAUUCAAAAUUUCACGAGAAAACUCAUGUCGGUUCAAGUCCGACCAGCGG